GCGCCCUUCGUCUAGCGGUUAGGACGGCGCCCUCUCACGGCGCAAACAGGGGUUCGAUUCCCCUAGGGCGUACCA
This 75-nucleotide transfer RNA is filed under the name Mesorhizobium sp. RNAcentral's name for it is "tRNA-Glu". It matches the Rfam family "tRNA". From Rfam's summary of the family: Transfer RNA (tRNA) molecules are approximately 80 nucleotides in length. Their secondary structure includes four short double-helical elements and three loops (D, anti-codon, and T loops). Further hydrogen bonds mediate the characteristic L-shaped molecular structure. tRNAs have two regions of fundamental functional importance: the anti-codon, which is responsible for specific mRNA codon recognition, and the 3' end, to which the tRNAs corresponding amino acid is attached (by aminoacyl-tRNA synthetases). tRNAs cope with the degeneracy of the genetic code in two manners: having more than one tRNA (with a specific anti-codon) for a particular amino acid; and 'wobble' base-pairing, i.e. permitting non-standard base-pairing at the 3rd anti-codon position. Lineage: Bacteria; Pseudomonadati; Pseudomonadota; Alphaproteobacteria; Hyphomicrobiales; Phyllobacteriaceae. The record is from RNAcentral.